AAAGGGAGACCUAAUUCAGGUAUAAGACGAAAAAAAAGUAGUCGCUACCAAGAAUCAAUCCCAAAAGGUCGGAGCGAGGCGAAAUUGGCUUUCAAACUAGGUUCUGGGUUCAAACAAGACCUGAAUCAGGAACAAGGGCUAUUAGCUCAGGUGGUUAGAGCGCACCCCUGAUAAGGGUGUGGUCCCUGGUUCGAGUCCAGGAUGGCCCACCUGCACAGGUGGCAAAAACAAGAGAAGCUCCGAAUCAGCACCUUAUCUUACUUACAUAGUAAGAGAGAAUGCUGGCUCUGAGUAAAGAGUCCAGAGGAACCUUGAAAACUGCAUAGAGCUAGGUGAAAAAGCCAAAAAAGAAGACCGCAAG
This 361-nucleotide transfer RNA is filed under the name uncultured Microcystis sp. Its description in RNAcentral is "partial 16S-23S ribosomal RNA intergenic spacer". The stretch from base 136 to 209 matches the Rfam family "tRNA". The record is from RNAcentral. Lineage: Bacteria; Bacillati; Cyanobacteriota; Cyanophyceae; Chroococcales; Microcystaceae.